This 397-nucleotide RNase P RNA is filed under the name Coleofasciculus sp. LEGE 07081. Its description in RNAcentral is "RNase P RNA component class A". It matches the Rfam family "Bacterial RNase P class A". Rfam says of the family: Ribonuclease P (RNase P) is a ubiquitous endoribonuclease, found in archaea, bacteria and eukarya as well as chloroplasts and mitochondria. Its best characterised activity is the generation of mature 5'-ends of tRNAs by cleaving the 5'-leader elements of precursor-tRNAs. The record is from RNAcentral. RNAcentral also lists the same sequence under 1 other name. Lineage: Bacteria; Bacillati; Cyanobacteriota; Cyanophyceae; Coleofasciculales; Coleofasciculaceae.
AGAGUUGGCGCAGGUGGUUGCAGAUUCACCCUAGGGACUGAAUCUGAGGAAAGUCCGGGCUCUCGAAAGACCAAACUUGCUGGGUAACGCCCAGUGCGGGCGACCGUGAGGAUAGUGCCACAGAAACAUACCGCCGAUGGUGUAGAGACGCGCCAUGGAAAGUCUCUACAAACAGGUAAGGGUGCAAAGGUGCGGUAAGAGCGCACCAGCAGCAUCGAGAGGUGCUGGCUCGGUAAACCCCGGUUGUGAGCAAGGUCAAAGGAACUACGGUUGGUCUUUUACCAGUUCCGUCUAAUAGAGCCGCUAGAGGCGUCUGGUGACAGGCGUCCCAGAUAGAUAACUACCCUCUUGGCGAUUCGUCAGGAGAACAGAACCCGGCUUAUGUCUGACUCUCUCC